AUUGAACGCUGGCGGCAGGCCUAACACAUGCAAGUCGAGCGAGCGGCGGACGGGUGAGUAAUGUCUGGGAAACUGCCUGAUGGAGGGGGAUAACUACUGAAACGGUAGCUAAUACCGCAUACCAUCAGAUGUGCCCAGAUGGGAUUAGCUAGUGGGUGGGGUAACGGCUCACCUCGGCGACGAUCCCUAGCUGGUCGGAGAGGAUGACCAGCCAAACGGGAACUUAGAAACGGUCCAUACUCCUACGGGAGGCAGAGGUGGGGAAUAUUGAACAAGGGGCGAAAGCCUGAUGAAGCCAGGCCGGGUGUGGGAAGAAGGCCUUCGGGUUGUAAAGCACUUUCAGCGGGGAGGCGUUACCCGCAGAAGAAGCACCGGCUAACUCCGUGCCAGCAGCCGCGGUAAUU
Molecule: ribosomal RNA, 404 nt
Filed under: uncultured bacterium
Lineage: Bacteria
Description: partial 16S ribosomal RNA
Rfam family: Bacterial small subunit ribosomal RNA
Source: RNAcentral